RNAcentral lists this signal recognition particle RNA (100 nucleotides) under Chloroflexota bacterium. RNAcentral describes it as "Chloroflexi bacterium signal recognition particle sRNA small type". It matches the Rfam family "Bacterial small signal recognition particle RNA". From Rfam's summary of the family: The signal recognition particle (SRP) is a universally conserved ribonucleoprotein involved in the co-translational targeting of proteins to membranes. Archaeal SRP consists of a 7S RNA and homologues of the eukaryotic SRP19 and SRP54 proteins. Lineage: Bacteria; Bacillati; Chloroflexota. The record is from RNAcentral.
AGCUGGGGCCUGCGCGGCGGAACCCUUCGAACCUCGCCAGGUCCGGAAGGAAGCAACGAUAAGGAGUGGUUUCCGGGUGCCGCAGUGUUUUCUGGCUCUC